GACGAACGCUGGCGGCGCGCUUUAUACAUGCAAGUCGAACGAGAAGCCAGAGCUUGCUCUGGUGGAAAGUGGCGAACGGGUGAGUAACACGUGAGAAACCUGCCCAAAGACUGGGAUAAGCCGAGGAAACUUGGUCUAAUACCGGAUACCUUCUUUUAUCACAUGUUAAAAAGAAGAAAUGCUCCGGCGCUUUGGGAUGGUCUCGCGACCUAUCAGCUUGUUGGUGAGGUAAAAGCUCACCAAGGCAUCGACGGGUAGCUGGUCUGAGAGGAUGUCCAGCCACAUUGGGACUGAGAUACGGCCCAAACUCCUACGGGAGGCAGCAGUAGGGAAUCUUGCACAAUGAGGGAAACCUUGAUGCAGCGACGCCGCGUGCGGGACGAAGGCCCUAGGGUUGUAAACCGCCUUCAGUAGGGACGAAAGUGACGGUACCUACAGAAGAAGACCCCGGCAAACUAUGUGCCAGCAGCCGCGGU
Molecule: ribosomal RNA, 476 nt
Filed under: uncultured bacterium
Lineage: Bacteria
Description: bacterial SSU rRNA
Rfam family: Bacterial small subunit ribosomal RNA
Source: RNAcentral